AGGGUUCCCCUACUGGACUCGGCCCCAGCAGAUGGACAAAAAGCUGCUGGCCACGCCAGCUGUUGAACCCAUUCACUUUUGCUGUGUGGCCACCAGCAAUCCAACACUCUCCAUUUCCUGGCUGGAGAACCACAAGGAAGUCCAUGAAGUGCAUCACAUCAGGGCAUCAAGGUCAGCCUGGUGGUGGAGACAUGACCUUUGGACCUGGGCGAGUGUGAGUGUGGUCCUCACUGGCCCAUCCUACAUACAUGGCUGCUGCUCAACCAGAUGGUGGUGCUGGGCAGUGAGGUGGAGCUCCACUGUGCGGUGUGA
RNAcentral lists this long non-coding RNA (312 nucleotides) under Homo sapiens (human). RNAcentral's name for it is "non-protein coding lnc-ERV3-1-4:1". The record is from RNAcentral. Lineage: Eukaryota; Metazoa; Chordata; Mammalia; Primates; Hominidae.